This 1368-nucleotide long non-coding RNA is filed under the name Anser brachyrhynchus (Pink-footed goose). RNAcentral's name for it is "lncRNA (ENSABRG00000006150.1)". The record is from RNAcentral. Lineage: Eukaryota; Metazoa; Chordata; Aves; Anseriformes; Anatidae.
UAGCGAUGAGGGCGUGGUCUAAUAAAUUGGGGGCGUGGUCUGAUCAAUUGGGGGCGUGGCUUGGUAGGAUGUGGGCGUGGCUUAGCGGUAAGGGGGCGUGGCCUGGCGUGGCGCCGGCGGGAACUGGCGGCGUGGCCGCGGCAGCCCGCCCGCCCCCCGCCGGCACCGCCCGCCGCAGCGUGCCUCCUCGCCGGGUCCCACUAAAGACAACUUCUUUAUAAGCAGUAAUAGUUUGGAGAAUAUCUGAAGGUCAUUUCCUUUGACUCACUAUGGAAAUGAAGAAGCUGUUUUGCAUGUUGCAGAUGACUCUGCUGUUUGUCCCCUCUCUGCAAGGUUAUAACGUUUUCCUACCAGACUGGCAGCAAUCAAUGUCCCUGUCUUGCCUCUGCUUCUGCUCCUCCCUUGUGCAUAUUGCGCUGCGUAAAGCCUGUUUAUACUGGGUACCCCAGGAUGGAAAAGCAUGGUUAAAACUCCCGUGUCAACAUAUUUGGGACAGCAGAAUGGCAGCACGUACCUCCCACAUGGCAUUGAAGUCAGUGAGGUCCAAAAGGUUUUGAAAAGGAGGCCGGUAUCAUUUCUGGAACUGAUUUCCCCAUAGAUGAAGCACAGUAAAAUUGUGGUAAGGAUAUAUUUGUUUCAGAGACUUGAGUAUUUUACAGAAUGGCUUUGCUCCUGUAAACAGAAAUAGCCGUAUUUCUUAUCAAAAUGAAAUGUCAUGCCUUGAUAUAGUUCCUGUCACCUUCCUGUUAUGUUGGUUAACCUAGAAAUGAAAGCAGUUUUGUUAACUUUUUUGUUUGUUUGUUUUAACAAAUGUUUGUUGCCUUGUUGGGAUGGAAUUGCCUAUCCCUAUUAACAGCAGAAAAAAAUACAGGAAGAUUUUCCUUUUCUUGCAUGUACUGAUAAAAGGGAGCCAGCAUGCUGGGUAAGAGUGAAACUGAGUGGCAUUACUUUGGAUUGAGGAGAGGAUGUGUUAUGAAAAAAAAGAAGAGCUGCUGCUUUUUCUUUUAUCUUUUUUAUUUUUCAUAGUUCUGUAUGUCUUUAUGGCCACCAUGUUAAAUAACAGGGAAAAAUGCAAAACCCAACAAGUGUCUUCUCUUAAGCAGAAGUCUCAAGUUGAAUCAGUGAAGACACAUAUCUAAAAAUAGAAACAACUUCUUUAUUUCAGGGUUAUGAAAAGAUACGUGAGUAAAUGCUCUAAUUUCUAUAUAAACAGAAGUUUCUGGAUGACUCUAGGAAGUUGCUAACACAGUUUUUCUUCUGUAGCUUAUGAGAAGAACUCAACAGAUGAGAUUUCGGUGGAUCUUCCAGGCAAACACUUCUUUGCAUUUACAAGAAAAUAAAUCAUUUAAGCCGUAUAUUGAAAUGUCA